This 497-nucleotide ribosomal RNA is filed under the name uncultured bacterium. Its description in RNAcentral is "partial 16S ribosomal RNA". It matches the Rfam family "Bacterial small subunit ribosomal RNA", at positions 28 to 507 of the family's 1533-position model. The record is from RNAcentral.
GAUGAACGCUGGCGGCGUGCCUAAUACAUGCAAGUCGAGCGAACAGACGAGGAGCUUGCUCCUCUGACGUUAGCGGCGGACGGGUGAGUAACACGUGGAUAACCUACCUAUAAGACUGGGAUAACUUCGGGAAACCGGUGCUAAUACCGGAUAAUAUAUUGAACCGCAUGGUUCAAUAGUGAAAGACGGUUUUGCUGUCACUUAUAGAUGGAUCCGCGCCGCAUUAGCUAGUUGGUAAGGUAACGGCUUACCAAGGCGACGAUGCGUAGCCGACCUGAGAGGGUGAUCGGCCACACUGGAACUGAGACACGGUCCAGACUCCUACGGGAGGCAGCAGUAGGGAAUCUUCCGCAAUGGGCGAAAGCCUGACGGAGCAACGCCGCGUGAGUGAUGAAGGUCUUCGGAUCGUAAAACUCUGUUAUUAGGGAAGAACAAAUGUGUAAGUAACUAUGCACGUCUUGACGGUACCUAAUCAGAAAGCCACGGCUAACUACGUG